This 5262-nucleotide long non-coding RNA is filed under the name Homo sapiens (human). Its description in RNAcentral is "HSALNT0336372". The record is from RNAcentral. Lineage: Eukaryota; Metazoa; Chordata; Mammalia; Primates; Hominidae.
GCUCUUUCAGGGACGCUGUAAGAAUAACAGCCAAGACUCCCUCCUCUGAAAGUAGUGAAUAAGAAUCUGAAACCAAGAGGAUGUCAAAUCACUUCUCUCAUUCAGGACCUGGAAGGGAGUCCAUCCAGGGAGAACUGUUAUGAGGAUGGAGACCUAGAGCUGAAUCAGGUACACACCUAAUGGUAUGAGUGGCAGUUUCAAAUCCAUUCUACACUCUGCUGCAGCUGACAAUAGGCAGCAUCAGCAGCUGAAAGAUGAGAGUUUGGGUGAAGAUAUGGUCUUUCUGCUUGGUGGGUUUAGAGAAAGGAACUGGACCUUCCCAGACCAGCAUCUUGUUUUUGGAAUCCAGCUGUCUGCAGGAAGCACACACCCUGCUCUGUCCUUUGUGACUAGAUUCAGAGCCAGGGUUGAGUCCUCCUCACAGGGCGAGUUCUCUGACAAGGAAGUUUUGCAACCUAAUUUACAGCUGGAGCCAAGCUUGUCAGUGAGUGCCAGAGGGAAACUGUCGCAAUCGGCAGGCAAAGUAUAUUCAUUUAACAAGGGGAGUCUCUGAGGAGCUAUCAAAAACUGCUUGCCAUCUUUCCAAAUCAUCUCUGUCUGCAGUGACCAUGUCUUAAUCCUGAAGGAAAACAAGGUGGAAAUUGAUUUUUACUUCUCUGCAGCUAAGUAUGUGGCAGUCUUGGCCACAUGGUGACUCAGCAGAGGAGCCUAUGUACUGGCUGUCCUGAUGCUCUUCCUGAUUCAACUGAUUCUCUACACUUGAUCUUAGCCAAAAGGCCGAGAAGCAAUGAUUCAACUGAUUCUCAAAAGGACACCGCUGCAGGAAUAAACCCACUUCUAAAUAUGGUACACUUGGAAAGUUGUCCAGCUCGCAAUGUCAGAGUCACAGACUUCAUGCACACUCAUCUCAAGUCAAUGUUAUCUAACACAUUUCCACUAAUUAUUGGAUGACACUAGCAAGAAACUCUGAUAUUUUUCACCUAACCUUUGCUAAUUUAAAUGUGGCCAGCCCACCCUCAUACUGCAUUGUGAUGGGGAUAUAAAAGCCAAUGAAAGAUAUCAUUAAUUGUUAACAAUAGUCAUCACUGACAACUUCCUGUUGAAUGUCACUGUUACUCCUGCUACUGCUACUACCACUACCAUUUAUGAAGCUGCCAUUAUUACUAACUCAAAGCUUUCACAGAUACAGAAACAGGUGUAUUUUUUGUUUUGUUUUGUUUUUUGUUUUUGUUUGAGAGAGAGUCUUACUCUGUCGGCCAGGCUGGAGUGCAGUGGCACAAUCUCGGUUCACUGCAACGUCCGCCUCCCGGGUUCAAGCAAUUCUUGUGCCUCAGCCUCCCGAGUAGCUGGGAUUACAGGCAUGUGCCACCAUGCCUGGCUAAUUUUUGUAUUUUUAGUAGAGACGGGGUUUUACCAUGUUGGCCAGGCUGGUCUCAAACUCCUGACUUCAGGUAAUCCACCUGCCUAGGCCUCCCAAAGUGCUGGGAUUACAGGCAUGAGCCACCGUGCCUGGCCAGAAACAGGUGUAUCUUUAAAGCAUAACUUCCUCUCUGCAUCUUGCUUCCCCUCUUUCUGUCCCUUCUCCUCUCCCACCCCCACAGUUUUGGCUUCACUUUGCUCAGGCUGUGACAACUGUCUUUAAGGGAGCUAACUUUUAUCUGACUGUAAAGCCAAGCAAACUAAUCUUGCAAAACUGUUCUGCCACAUAGGUUGGUCUCUUCCUGUUUGGAAUUCAUCUAUAUAUUAGCAACUUGGAAAGCCUUUGAGCUGAGCUAGUGCGCAAAGCUGCACCUUAGACUGUGGUUUACAGUGCUGCUUAAUUGUCACAACGGUGUCACUCACCUUGUCCUCACCUAACCUGCAAGGUAGACAUUUAGGCUGCUUUCUUCAUCAGUGUAAGGUGAAAUAGCAGAUUGGUGUGUAAAAAGUGUGGCUUGGAGUGUGGUGGUAUGAACUGUGGGAUUAUUUACUAUAGGGUCUCAUUGCAAAUCCUUUAGAACACUUGCCUCUUACACCUUUUGUCUGUCUGCUCUUAAAUAUUUUCUGUCCUUCCAGCAUGCUAUCUCUACCUAACAGAAGGGGUCAUAUCUGUCUCAACUAAAAGUCAUUCCAUUUGGGUCAUUCGUCUGGAGGCUGAGACAGUGGAAGAGUCAAACUUGCCCUGAGCUUCACUCAGCCAGUACCUGUCUCCUCUGCCCACUGUCCAGCAACUUACCCUGACCCAUCCUUUAAGGAACUUGCCAAGAGAGAGCAGAAUACUCUUUCUUUCUCUCUCUCUCUCUCUUUUUUUGUCUUUCAUUUAUUCUUUGGAUAUAAACUGCAGACCUACUGGUUGUAAAGCACUGAGUUUCACAGUGAGGGCAACAAAAGAAUAGAACACCUGGUUCCUAUUCUGAGAGGGUCACCUCUGUUCACACAACUUCUGCCCAUCUGACUCAAUCUACUAGGUAAGCGGCAGAGGGGCUUCCUUCCCCCCAAAACCUCUACUGAAUUAUAAAAGAUGGGGAAAUUGGAAUUUAGCAUUUUCAAAACCCCACCUCUUCUUGCAGAUUUACUUUCUUUCACUUUCCCAAGCAGACUUCAUGUGGCAACCAAACUAUACUGUCAAGUACCCUCUGAACCCGCCUGCCCUUCCUGCCUGCAUGCGUCAUGGAAGAGCUGCCUUUGCCCCAGGACACUGCUCUGGCCCCAUUACCAUCACCAUCACCAAGGAAAAUACAUCCCUUAUAUUUCAAAGCCCUAGUUCAAGCAUGUCUUCCUUUCAGGCAGAUAAAAUUAUUUUAUGCUUAAAGAUGCAGAAAAAAUGACACACACACACACACACACACACACACUCAUAAAACAACUUUAGAGUCUAUAAGAUCUCAUUCUGCACUUGGGUGCUUACUAAAAAUAUCUCACUGGAAGAAUAACUAGCCUUAGUUUCCACAUCUGCAAAAUGGAGAUAACAAUACUAUAAAAUGAUUAUGGCUUUUUGAUGAUGUAGUUUGCAUAAAUGGCCUAGCCAAGUACCCGGCACCCGUAGGUACUCUACAAAUGCUAGUCAGCAUCCCUUCUUGGAAAUCUCCACGAUUAAAUGAUAUCUUAUGCAGCUGUUUGCAGCUUAUCUCCUGUUAGACUCCAAGCUGCUUAAGAAUAGUGACUAUGGGCUUAUUCACAUGGGGUUCCCUGCAGCCUUGCUUAGUGCUUUGUACCUAACAGAUGCUAAGGCAUAUUGGAUACAACAGUUUAUUACUGUAAAAAUACAAAUGACCAUAGGUCUGGAAAGAGCCAGGCUCAGCAGGGUACAAAGCAGGCCUGGGGGUACAAAGCCCAGGCUCUUUAGAACCUUUGCCUUAGCUCAGCAAGGUUCUCAAGGGUGGAGUAAUUGCAGAGAGAAAAUGGCAGGCUCCAUGUGCAGGCUUAUGUGAUUUAGGGCCACAGACUGACCCUUCCUGGGGUCACCCACAAGAUGAAUCAGGAAAAGAGAGAACAGAGAUGGGGCCAGCUGCUCCCAGAUCCUUAGACAUUCUAAAUAAGGGGGAGAGACUCAGUCUUUUCUGAUUAAUCUUUGAUGAUUUAUUCUUUGGACAUCAUUUAAAAGGAGCAUUUUAAAGUAAAUUAAUUGAACUCUCAUGACCUUUUACCCUACUAAUAUCAUCAAAAGAAACUAGAUCUUGAAUUUUAAAAAGCGCUUGAUUUAUUUUCUGUGACUUACAAACUACUGAAGAACAUCAGUUUUUAUUUUUUGAAAUUAUGAAAACUCCAGCUUUUAAAGCAAGAAGUCAAAACAGCUCAGUUUUGAAACAUCCCAAUUUUAGCAAAUGAGUAUUGAGUGAAAGGUGUCAUAGACAUUGGUAAAAGAUAAAUAUGUAAUUUAAUACACAGAAAACUGGGUAAGUAUUGUCUUCAAAAAGCCAAUUCCCCUUCUACCACACUGACCCUGAUGGUAUUCUUGAGUCCAAAUGACUUGGGUAAAUUCUGAUUAGUAUAAACCAGUUUUUUUUUUUUUUAAUUAUUUUACUUUAAGCUCUGGGAUAUAUGUCCAGAACAUGCAGGUUUGGUACUUAGGUAUAUAUGUGCCAUGGUGGUUUGCCACACCUUAUCAACCUGUCAUUUAGGUUUUAAGUCCCACAUGCAUUAGGUAUUUGUCUUAACGCUCUCCCUCCCCUUGCUCCCAACCCCCUGACAGGUCCCAGUGUGUGAUGUUCCCCUCCCUGUGUCCAUGUGAUCUCAUUGUUCAACUCCCACUUAUGAGUGAGAACAUGUGGUGCUUGGUUUUGUGUUCCUGUGUUAGUUUGCUGAGAAUGAUGGUUUCCAGCUUCAUCCAUGUCCCUGCAAAGGACAUGAACUCAUUCUUUUUUAUGGCUGCAUAGUAUUCCAUGGUGUGUAUGUGCCACAUUUUCUUUACCCAGUCUAUCAUUGCUUGGCAUUUGGGUUGGUCCCAAGUUUUUGCUAUUGUAAAUAGUCCUGCAAUAAACAUACGUGUGCAUGUGUCUUUAUAGUAGAAUUUAUAAUCCUUUGGUAUAUACCCAAUAAUGGGAUUGCUGGGUCAAAUGGUAUUUCUAAACCAGUGUUUUUUUGUUUGUUUGUUUGUUUUGUUUUUUUUAAAGUGCAGGAAGCAGUUUAUUAAUUAAUUCUAAAAUCAAUUUAGUACUUUGAAUCAGAAUUUUUUAAAUUAAUUGAUAGUAUAAAGAAUAAAAUAGAAUGGAAAAUAUCUGGAGGUACUGCACAUAAGGAUUCCAAUUUCUAUUUUCAGAACUUUCAUUUGUAAUUUAUGUACGCAUCUAACGUGUAUUUACGUGUAUACUGAGUUAGGGUGUACAACUUUUCCCUGAGGCUGUAUCUCAAAAACUUUGGAAGCUGAAGAAUUUGUCCAAAUCUAUGUUCCUUUUUGUUUGUAAAUCACCUGAUGAUGGUGAUAUAGCUGUGGCCAACGAAAUGUCAAGGGAAGUCUGCUGGGGAAGGUAGACGUAGGAUAGGAGUAUGGGAAAAAAUUAUUCACUCAAAAGCAUGAUGCACAGAGGAGCUAUGAUCUUUUCUUGUUUUCCUCACUGGAUGUUGUCAUGUCUGUAUGUACUUCCUGGAACUGUGGCACCAUCUUACAACCAUGAAAGGAGCUCACAUGAAAUCAUGUUGAACAUAGCAGAGCGGGAAGAUGGAAGGAAUCCGAGAUCUAUGUUUGAUGUUAAGCGAUGAUGUUAAAAACUUAAAAAACUCCAGAACUCUCUUACCCCUGGGCUUGUUAUAAUAAAAAGAUAAUAAUCCUCUUAGUGUUUAAGG